This 309-nucleotide ribosomal RNA is filed under the name uncultured bacterium. RNAcentral's name for it is "bacterial SSU rRNA". It matches the Rfam family "Bacterial small subunit ribosomal RNA", at positions 28 to 334 of the family's 1533-position model. The record is from RNAcentral.
GACGAACGCUGGCGGCAUGCCUAAUACAUGCAAGUCGAGCGGAAUGACGAGAGCUUGCUCUCUGAUUUUAGCGGCGGACGGGUGAGUAACGCGUGGGUAACCUGCCUCGUACAGGGGGAUAACAGUUAGAAAUGACUGCUAAUACCGCAUAUGCACACAGCACCGCAUGGUGCAGGGUGGAAAGAUUUAUCGGUACGAGAUGGACCCGCGUUGGAUUAGCUAGUUGGUGAGGUAACGGCCCACCAAGGCGACGAUCCAUAGCCGGCCUGAGAGGGUGAACGGCCACAUUGGGACUGAGACACGGCCCAA